AGUUGAUCACAUGUAAAACUGGUUUCACAUUGCAAUUGAAAUGAACUUACCUGCAUUCAAACAAUACAUGUACGUCAGAAAGUUAUUAUGGUUGUUCUUAACCAGAAGUACAUUAUUAGAUCUCAUCUAAUUUGGUUUGGUUGUAUUUACCUCCAAUGAGAUGAUUUUCUUUGUGUAACCAUUAAAUAAGAAUGUAGAUGGAAAUGAAAGAAUAUAUGUUUUUUACAAUUUACUUUAAUUAUAUAAAAAAAUCUCUCUCAAUAUAAUAAAUUGUGUUGGCCUUGCAACACAUCAAAGUCAUGAUGAGAUUCAACAUGAUGUCAAGACAAAAAUGGCCAAAUACAACAAUAGUAAAUAAAAAUACUGACUAAAAACCAUCACUAUCAAAGUGAGCACACAUACAAAAUGUCAUGGUUAUCUCCCCUUCAAGAUUAAGCAAAGUUACCUCCCUUAAAGGGGACAGAAUUACCUCCCCUGUUAAUUAAUAUAAAAGCAUCGAGUAUUGUUAGGUUGAAAGGAUAGAAUGACAUGUUCUAUACAUGCUAAAUUUUGGCAAGACACAACAAAUGUAGAUAUAAAGAAUGCAAAUGGCACAAAAAAAUCACCCCAUUCUUUAUAAAAAAAAAUAUCACAGUUCCUAGAAAUUUCUUGUCAUCUUGCUAGUUUUUAAAUCAAGUUUCAUUAAAGCAAUUCUCAUUCAAUUAAAGGUUAUUAUGCACAUGAACAUAAAAUACUUUCUUGAAAAUGAACAAGAUUGUUUCAUAUUAUGAUUGUUCUUCACAAAACAAAAAAUAUCAAUCUCUGACAACACGAAGUUGUGUUGACAAUUUACAAAACCAUCGUAAUGAACUAACUAAGGAUAAUAAAUACAAGUCCCACCAAGUUCAAAUUUGGGCUACUGAUUUUAUAUAAAGUUCCAAAUGUUAAAAAGCCAUUGAUUAGAAGUUUUGAAUGUAGUGUCAGUGUAUAAAUGGAUUUCUGGAAAGUCAUGCCGUUAAUUAUGAACACUCAAAGCAUGUUAAAUUUGUUAGAAAUGUGUUAAUAAUAAAUAAUCAAAUUUACUAUUACAUAUACUAAUAUUUAUGGGCUAUGAUUUUUUGGGGGGUUAUUUUGUGCUGACAAGUUCACAUUAUGACGAAGCGAUGUCAAAUGUAAAUUCUCUUUGGAAGUCUAAAUUCUAUCUAAACUUUAAAUAACUUUUCUCUUUGAGGCUAACAUCACAAUGGGUAAUGAAUUUUUGAUUGUUUUUUUGGAGGUAUGCUGCCAUUUAUUGUCACAUGCAAAUGCUUCAGGUGUAGGUUCUAUAUUAUUGCUUAGAAGUAUUGUUGAGAUUUGACAGAUAAAACCUACCUUGCUAUGCUGUGGUUUGUCCAUGCAUCAGGUGAAGUUACAGAGAGAGAGAGAGGACUUGGGUCUGAGCAAUGGUUAGUUUAAGCUCAAAUCAAAUCAACAAGCAAAGAAAUUAACAGGAUAGUAAUUAAACUCAUUUCAUAACAAUUGGUUUGAAAAGACACCGAUAUUCAAACAUUAAUGGUCUGUAUCUUUUUUAAAUAUUUAUAUACCCCUGUGAGAAAUGUAUGGACUAAAAUUGGUCCUGAGCAUUCAGAUUCUAAAUAUAUACCCUGUAGAUACCCUGUAUACCUGUAAAAUGCCCAUCAAAUGGUCAUGUUCCAGACAAAUGCAUCAUAUUGAAAGAUUUUGUUUUAUAAUUUUAAACUUAAAGUAGACAAUCAUUAGUUACAUGACUAAUUGAACCCCCUACCCUUUCCGAUGCAAAAUGUUCCAUCUUAUCUCCUAUUUAAUGAUGUGACCAGGAGUCGAUUUCACAAAAAAACUUACAACUAAGAUUGAUCUUAAUGAUUUGUUCAUGACUUAAGGUUAAUCUUAUUAAGUUUUUUUGUGUAACCGACUCCAGAGUUUUAACACAUAUCUGAAUAUCAAUGUCUCUCAAUCAAUGGGGUCAACAAUGCAUGCAAUAAGUGUGUUAGUAAAAAACUGAACAGAAAACAUUAAAAUCCAUGUUUAUUAUCAUCAGCAGCAGCAGAGAUUAGCAGCAGUAUGGAGUAUUCAUAAUAUAUUGUUAAUGAGAUUCGUCAAAAUACUACAUAACAUACUGAACUGACAGAAUUUACUCAAACAUUUUAUACCCAAAUCUUUCCCAUAUCUUUUUUGUUCAACUGUACAAAUCUCUUAGUAUAUACCCUCAUUAUUCUGUCAGAAUCAGUAAUCAUCUAUCAAAGAAAUACAUACAAUUUUACCCCCCUCCCCUUUCCUGGGAAACUUGUAUAAAGGAUUUACUAUUUACAUACACGUACUACCAAUAUUUAUGGUUCUGAUUUUUCUAAACAUUAGAAAGAAGUCUCAGUAAUUCAAAGACAAUGGGCAGAUACAUAUAGUUUAACAGAAAGAUCAUGUGUCCUAUAUGCAUCCUUUUUGUAUAAAACUCGACAGAAUUUUCAAUAGCUUGAAAAAGAUGAUUUUUUUCUGUCUCAAUUACACAGAUCUAUUUUUGCAGUAAUUCCAAAUGUUUU
RNAcentral lists this long non-coding RNA (2531 nucleotides) under Mytilus galloprovincialis (Mediterranean mussel). Lineage: Eukaryota; Metazoa; Mollusca; Bivalvia; Mytilida; Mytilidae. The record is from RNAcentral.